CAGCCGCCACGGUAAUACGAAGGUCCCGAGCGUUGUUCGGAAUCACUGGGCGUAAAGGGAGCGUAGGCGGCGUGGUAAGUCAGAUGUGAAAUCCCGGGGCUCAACCCCGGAACUGCAUCCGAUACUGCCAUGCUAGAGGAUUGGAGAGGUAGCUGGAAUUCUUGGUGUAGCAGUGAAAUGCGUGGAGAUCAAGAGGAACACUCGUGGCGAAAGCGAGCUACUGGACAAUAACUGACGCUGAGGCUCGAAGGCCAGGGUAGCGAAAGGGAUUAGAGACCCCUGUAGUCCUGUCUCUUAUACA
This 301-nucleotide ribosomal RNA is filed under the name uncultured bacterium. RNAcentral describes it as "partial 16S ribosomal RNA". It matches the Rfam family "Bacterial small subunit ribosomal RNA", at positions 509 to 809 of the family's 1533-position model. The record is from RNAcentral.